RNAcentral lists this transfer RNA (74 nucleotides) under Opitutaceae bacterium TAV1. Its description in RNAcentral is "tRNA-Gly". It matches the Rfam family "tRNA". From Rfam's summary of the family: Transfer RNA (tRNA) molecules are approximately 80 nucleotides in length. Their secondary structure includes four short double-helical elements and three loops (D, anti-codon, and T loops). Further hydrogen bonds mediate the characteristic L-shaped molecular structure. tRNAs have two regions of fundamental functional importance: the anti-codon, which is responsible for specific mRNA codon recognition, and the 3' end, to which the tRNAs corresponding amino acid is attached (by aminoacyl-tRNA synthetases). tRNAs cope with the degeneracy of the genetic code in two manners: having more than one tRNA (with a specific anti-codon) for a particular amino acid; and 'wobble' base-pairing, i.e. permitting non-standard base-pairing at the 3rd anti-codon position. Lineage: Bacteria; Pseudomonadati; Verrucomicrobiota; Opitutia; Opitutales; Opitutaceae. The record is from RNAcentral. RNAcentral also lists the same sequence under 6 other names.
GCGGCUGUAGUUUAGUGGUAAAACUCCACUCUUCCAAAGUGGUCUCGAGAGUUCGAUUCUCUCCAGCCGCACCA